CCUGGCUCAGGAUGAACGCUAGCGGCAGGCUUACACAUGCAAGUCGAGGGGCAUCGGGAGUAGCAAUACUGCCGGCGACCGGCGCAAGGGUGCGUAACGCGUGAGCAACAUGCCCGUAUCAGGGGGAUAAUCCAUGGAAACGUGGUCUAAUAUCCCAUAGUAAUUAUGUAAGGCAUCUUAUAUAAUUUAAAGCUUUGGUGGAUACGGAUUGGCUCGCGUGACAUUAGCUAGAUGGUAAGGUAACGGCUUACCAUGGCUACGAUGUCUAGGGGUUCUGAGAGGAAGGUCCCCCCACACUGGAACUGAGACACGGUCCAGACUCCUACGGGAGGCAGCAGUGAGGAAUAUUGGACAAUGGAUGGAAAUCUGAUCCAGCCAUGCCGCGUGCAAGGAAGACGGCCCUAUGGGUUGUAAACUGCUUUUGUAUGGGAGCAAUAAGGGCUACGCGUAGUCCGAUGAGAGUACCAUACGAAUAAGCACCGGCUAACUCCGUGCCAGCCGCGGC
Molecule: ribosomal RNA, 505 nt
Filed under: uncultured bacterium
Lineage: Bacteria
Description: bacterial SSU rRNA
Rfam family: Bacterial small subunit ribosomal RNA
Source: RNAcentral